GAUGAACGCUGGCGGCGUGCUUAACACAUGCAAGUCGAACGGAAAGGCCCAAGCUUGCUUGGGUACUCGAGUGGCGAACGGGUGAGUAACACGUGGGUGAUCUGCCCUGCACUUCGGGAUAAGCCUGGGAAACUGGGUCUAAUACCGGAUAGGACGAUGGUUUGGAUGCCAUUGUGGAAGGUUUUUUCGGUGUGGGAUGAGCUCGCGGCCUAUCAGCUUGUUGGUGGGGUAAUGGCCUACCAAGGCGUCGACGGGUAGCCGGCCUGAGAGGGUGUACGGCCACAUUGGGACUGAGAUACGGCCCAGACUCCUACGGGAGGCAGCAGUGGGGAAUAUUGCACAAUGGGCGCAAGCCUGAUGCAGCGACGCCGCGUGGGGGAUGACGGCCUUCGGGUUGUAAACUCCUUUCGCUAGGGACGAAGCGUUUUGUGACGGUACCUGGAGAAGAAGCACCGGCUAACUACGUG
Molecule: ribosomal RNA, 467 nt
Filed under: uncultured bacterium
Lineage: Bacteria
Description: partial 16S ribosomal RNA
Rfam family: Bacterial small subunit ribosomal RNA
Source: RNAcentral